GCCGAUCGCCUUGAGUUGAUAUGGCUCGAAUCAACGCUGGCGGCGCGCUUACACAUGCAAGUCGCACGAGAAAGCCCGCAAGGGUGAGUAAAGUGGCGUACGGGUGAGUAACACGUGGAUGAUCUACCUUCUAGUGGGGAAUAACCCAGGGAAACCGGGGCUAAUACCGCAUAAGCUCGAGAGAGGAAAGCAGCAAUGCGCUGGAAGAGGAGUCCGCGGCCGAUUAGCUAGUUGGCAGGGUAAAAGCCUACCAAGGCAGAGAUCGGUAGCCGGCCUGAGAGGGCACACGGCCACACUGGCACUGAAACACGGGCCAGACUCCUACGGGAGGCAGCAGUGGGGAAUCUUGCACAAUGGGGGAAACCCUGAUGCAGCGACGCCGCGUGAGCGAUGAAGCCCUUCGGGGUGUAAAGCUCUUUCGGCAGGGAAGAUGGUGACGGUACCUGCAGAAGCAGCUGCGGCUAACUACGUGCCAGCAGCCGCGGUAAUACGUAGGCAGCGAGCGUUGUUCGGAGUUACUGGGCGUAAAGGGUGUGUAGGCGGUUGUUUAAGUUUGGUGUGAAAUCUCCCGGCUCAACCGGGAGGGUGCGCCGAAUACUGAAUGACUUCGAGUGCGGGAGAGGAAAGUGGAAUUCCUGGUGUAGCGGUGAAAUGCGUAGAUAUCAGGAGGAACACCGGUGGUGUAGACGGCUUUCUGGACCCGUACUGACGCUGAGACACGAAAGCGUGGGUAGC
This 735-nucleotide ribosomal RNA is filed under the name uncultured bacterium. Its description in RNAcentral is "bacterial SSU rRNA". It matches the Rfam family "Bacterial small subunit ribosomal RNA", at positions 1 to 769 of the family's 1533-position model. The record is from RNAcentral.